CCCUUAGAUGUUCUGGGCCGCACGCGCGCUACACUGAUGCAUUCAACGAGCCUAUCCUUGACCGACAGGUCCGGGUAAUCUUUGAAUCUGCAUCGUGACGGGGAUAGAUUAUUGCAAUUAUUAAUCUUCAACGAGGAAUGCCUAGUAGGCGCAAGUCAUCGGCUUGCGUCGAUUACGUCCCUGCCCUUUGUACACACCGCCCGUCGCUCCUACUGAUUGGGUGUGCUGGUGAAAUGUUCGGAUCGGCCGUUUGUCGCGGUUUCCGCGUCAUGUGGCUGAGAAGUUCAUUAAACCCUCCCACCUAGAGGAAGGAGAAGUCGUAACA
This 325-nucleotide ribosomal RNA is filed under the name uncultured eukaryote. RNAcentral describes it as "partial 18S ribosomal RNA". It matches the Rfam family "Eukaryotic small subunit ribosomal RNA", at positions 1470 to 1796 of the family's 1831-position model. The record is from RNAcentral.